RNAcentral lists this ribosomal RNA (828 nucleotides) under uncultured bacterium. Its description in RNAcentral is "bacterial SSU rRNA". It matches the Rfam family "Bacterial small subunit ribosomal RNA", at positions 98 to 922 of the family's 1533-position model. The record is from RNAcentral.
GCGGACGGGUGAGUAAUGCCUAGGAAUCUGCCUGAUAGUGGGGGACAACGUUUCGAAAGGAACGCUAAUACCGCAUACGUCCUACGGGAGAAAGCAGGGGACCUUCGGGCCUUGCGCUAUCAGAUGAGCCUAGGUCGGAUUAGCUAGUUGGUGAGGUAAUGGCUCACCAAGGCGACGAUCCGUAACUGGUCUGAGAGGAUGAUCAGUCACACUGGAACUGAGACACGGUCCAGACUCCUACGGGAGGCAGCAGUGGGGAAUAUUGGACAAUGGGCGAAAGCCUGAUCCAGCUAUGCCGCGUGUGUGAAGAAGGUCUUCGGAUUGUAAAGCACUUUAAGUUGGGAGGAAGGGUUGUAGAUUAAUACUCUGCAAUUUUGACGUUACCGACAGAAUAAGCACCGGCUAACUCUGUGCCAGCAGCCGCGGUAAUACAGAGGGUGCAAGCGUUAAUCGGAAUUACUGGGCGUAAAGCGCGCGUAGGUGGUUUGUUAAGUUGGAUGUGAAAUCCCCGGGCUCAACCUGGGAACUGCAUCCAAAACUGGCAAGCUAGAGUAUGGUAGAGGGUGGUGGAAUUUCCUGUGUAGCGGUGAAAUGCGUAGAUAUAGGAAGGAACACCAGUGGCGAAGGCGACCACCUGGACUGAUACUGACACUGAGGUGCGAAAGCGUGGGGAGCAAACAGGAUUAGAUACCCUGGUAGUCCACGCCGUAACCGAUGUCAACUAGCCGUUGGGAGCCUUGAGCUCUUAGUGGCGCAGCUAACGCAUUAAGUUGACCGCCUGGGGAGUACGGCCGCAAGGUUAAAACUCAAAUGAAUUGACGGGGGCCC